Molecule: RNase P RNA, 452 nt
Filed under: Flexistipes sinusarabici DSM 4947
Lineage: Bacteria; Pseudomonadati; Deferribacterota; Deferribacteres; Deferribacterales; Flexistipitaceae
Description: RNA component of RNaseP
Rfam family: Bacterial RNase P class A
About the family: Ribonuclease P (RNase P) is a ubiquitous endoribonuclease, found in archaea, bacteria and eukarya as well as chloroplasts and mitochondria. Its best characterised activity is the generation of mature 5'-ends of tRNAs by cleaving the 5'-leader elements of precursor-tRNAs.
Source: RNAcentral
AGAGAAAGUCGGAUGACCACCCCGCCACUAAAUGAUGUAUAGAGCACGAUGUUGGAAAUAUUAAGUGAAUAUUCCAGGUGUUAUGAAAUAGUUUAUAAAACGUUUUUCAUCAUUUAGUGGCGGGGAGGAAAGUCCGGGCACCGCAGAGCAGGAUGGUCGGUAACGCCGACCCGCCGUGAGGCGGGGAAAGUGCCGCAGAAAAUAUACCGCCGAGCACUUAAUAUUGUACAAUUAAGUGCUCAGGUAAGGGUGAAAUGGUGGUGUAAGAGACCACCGGUUGCCUGGUGACAGGUAACGCAUGGUAAACCCCGUCCGGUGCAAGGCCAAAUAGGUGAGCGUUUGAGGGUUGCUCGUCCGAGGCUCACGGGUAGGCUGCUAGAGUCGACCGGUAACGGUCGUCCCAGAGAAAUGGUCAUCCCCGACAGAACCCGGCUUACAGACUUUCUCUUCUG